Molecule: long non-coding RNA, 544 nt
Filed under: Homo sapiens (human)
Lineage: Eukaryota; Metazoa; Chordata; Mammalia; Primates; Hominidae
Description: non-protein coding POT1-AS1:16
Source: RNAcentral
AUAGUCGCUUGUUCUCCGCCCGCGGUGGACCAGCUGCGUAACGGUUCACACACUGAUGGCGCCUGGAGGUUUGGCGAAAUACUGACAGGAUGCGACGUCAACGGGAGCGCAGGGCCAAGAUACCCUUUAUAUCAAACCGUCUAUCCUGGAGCAGAAAAAUCCUGUCUUCAUUGCUAUAGCUACAGAUUCAGAAAUGAGCAUGUAACAAAUUCAGGCCAAAGAGAGGCAAUGGAAAUCAGAGAAACACUGUUCCUGAAAGCUUCUGUCACUCAAGAAUCCAUGAAACAUUCAUGAACUUCACAUCAGAGUCCUCAGAAGGGAAGAUAGUGUUAAUGUAGAAUUGAUAACACAGAAUGCACCACUGCUGUGAUCCUUAUAUCUUGGCUGGCCAUUACCCCUCCACUUGGAAAUGAAAAAGAUAAACUAAUUGAAGCAGUGAGAAGAGAAAAAGGGAGAGGAAGGUGCUAUUGUGGAGGUGCAUACCCAACAGUUUGAUAAUGUAGAGGAAGUGAUAGCUUUGUCUCGUGGAAUCUGGGUCGACCUC